UAGGCCUACGGGAGGCAGCAGUAGGGAAUUUUCGUCAAUGGGCGCAAGCCUGAACGAGCAAUGCCGCGUGAACGAGGAAGGUCUUCGGAUCGUAAAGUUCUGUUGAAGGGGAAAAAGAGCGGAGAGAGGAAAUGGUCUCCGAUUGAUAUUACCCUUCGAGGAAGUCACGGCUAACUACGUGCCAGCAGCCGCGGUAAUACGUAGGUGGCGAGCGUUAUCCGGAAUGAUUGGGCGUAAAGGGUGCGUAGGCGGCCUGCUAAGUCUGGAGUGAAAGGCGGGGGCCCAACCCCCGGACUGCUUUGGAA
RNAcentral lists this ribosomal RNA (305 nucleotides) under uncultured bacterium. Its description in RNAcentral is "bacterial SSU rRNA". It matches the Rfam family "Bacterial small subunit ribosomal RNA", at positions 334 to 631 of the family's 1533-position model. The record is from RNAcentral.